AAGCCCCUAAUUCCCUAAUCCCUUAGCGCUCAAGCAGACUAAUGGGCCGUACCUGCUUACCCAUUUUCCCCUUUCUAUUUUUCUAACCCUAGACUGCUUUGCUGUUGCUGAUUCACGACUACAAUAGCAGAGGGCGACAACGACUUCACGACCUCGGCGAGCGGCAACGACGGCUCCUCUCCUCGGCAUUGUUGACCUUCAUUCAGGUUCAUAACUUCUUCAUUCUUCAAUGUUGAGGUUUUAUGUAAUUCUUCAACUGCUUCUUUUAUCCUUUUUCACCUUAUGAUUUCAUUGGGUGGUUGGGUGGGUAAAGAUACUUGUUUUAUGAUUUGGAGCUAUAAUUUUUUGGAUUUAAACCCAAGCUACCCUACUUAGUGAACACUGCUCGGCUAUAAUCUGUUCUAGAAAGGGUUAACUUGUUUGUAAAAUUAAGUGUUCAGUUUUUCUAUAUGGUAAAAUUAAUUGGGUUAAGUGUUCUGUUUUCUGUUCUUUUCAAUAGUACUCGAAGGCAUAUUUUUGACCAACUUUGUUACUUACUAGUACUAAGUUAUGUUUUUAAUUGGUGUUGUUCUAUUUUUAGCGGGUUGGCCAUUGGAGGGGUUUUGUUUUUAAUUGGUUUUGUUUUAGUACUAAGUGUUCUAUUUAUUUUUAAUUGGUCUUGUUCAUUAAAUUAAGUCUUAAAUUUAACGAUGGUAGAUUGACUGAUGAAUAUAGUAGUUCUAUGAUUUCUGCAUUGCUUCAAAAACUGAGAAGUGAGAAACAUUCAUAUUGUUUAACUUUCUGUUAAAUUACAUGCUUAUUUAAGUGGGAGUUCUUCAUUGUUAUGUGCAAAUUAAGUGUUCUGUGCAUCUAGUGGGACAGUGGGAGUGUUAUAACUUAUAAUUGCAUCAUUAAUAGGGAUGGUGUAAUACCGAAAUCGUAUCGAAUCGUACCGAACCAAAUAAGAAAAUACAGAACUGUACCGAACUACUUUGGUACGGUAUUUGAUAUGCACAAUUGAUAUACCGAAUGCCGAAGUACCAAACCGUAAUUCAUAAAUAUCGUACCGAAUUCCCACCCCUACUAUCUGUAUACGGGUAACCUCGGGGUCAACAUAUACCUCGAGUUCUCGAUGAGUCAAACGAAGUAAGAAGUAUGAAUGUAUGAGAUAGAGACUGCAUUUGAGAAUUCUUUGAAUCGAGGCCGGAAUGAGGUGCUCGCCGCCUGGCCUAACAAGACAACACCCCCGAACGAGCUCAAGACCUCAGAAAGCACUACAAACGGUUGCACACGACUAACAGAGGGCCGUGAUCGCACUCAACCGAGUAUUACGGCGUGGAUCUCACCCGACGUCGAUAGCUUAUCAGUGAUUGAUGUACAAGGAGGAUUUUUACCUUUUUUAGAAUUCUGGUAAAAUUCCCCUACUAUAUAAAGGGGAAGUUUCUUAUUCAAUAGACACAUUGUAUCACGAAAGAUUCUUAUUUUAAUCAUAGUUCUUCAUACACACUUGGCUUCGAAUAUUGUUCAGUUUAGAUCCGAGCUCAGACUCAACAUCACAACUGGUUUGGUUAUUUAUUUUAUCUUUAAUUCGUUUAUCUAAC
RNAcentral lists this long non-coding RNA (1580 nucleotides) under Nicotiana tabacum (common tobacco). RNAcentral describes it as "long non-coding RNA (NTAB_LNC013585)". Lineage: Eukaryota; Viridiplantae; Streptophyta; Magnoliopsida; Solanales; Solanaceae. The record is from RNAcentral.